UACGGAGGGAGCUAGCGUUGUUCGGAAUUACUGGGCGUAAAGCGCACGUAGGCGGCUUUGUAAGUUAGAGGUGAAAGCCUGGUGCUCAACACCAGAACUGCCUUUAAGACUGCAUCGCUUGAACACGGGAGAGGUGAGUGGAAUUCCGAGUGUAGAGGUGAAAUUCGUAGAUAUUCGGAAGAACACCAGUGGCGAAGGCGGCUCACUGGACCGUUGUUGACGCUGAGGUGCGAAAGCGUGGGGAGCAAACAGG
Molecule: ribosomal RNA, 253 nt
Filed under: uncultured bacterium
Lineage: Bacteria
Description: partial 16S ribosomal RNA
Rfam family: Bacterial small subunit ribosomal RNA
Source: RNAcentral